This 301-nucleotide ribosomal RNA is filed under the name uncultured bacterium. RNAcentral describes it as "partial 16S ribosomal RNA". It matches the Rfam family "Bacterial small subunit ribosomal RNA", at positions 509 to 808 of the family's 1533-position model. The record is from RNAcentral.
CAGUCGCCACGGUAAUACGUAGGUCCCGAGCGUUGUCCGGAUUUAUUGAGCGUAAAGCGAGCGCAGGCGGUUAGAUAAGUCUGAAGUUAAAGGCUGUGGCUUAACCAUAGUACGCUUUGGAAACUGUUUAACUUGAGUGCAAGAGGGGAGAGUGGAAUUCCAUGUGUAGCGGUGAAAUGCGUAGAUAUAUGGAGGAACACCGGUGGCGAAAGCGGCUCUCUGGCUUGUAACUGACGCUGAGGCUCGAAAGCGUGGGGAGCAAACAGGAUUAGAUACCCCAGUAGUCCCUGUCUCUUAUACC